GUACCCUUUGGCAGCACGUAUACUAAAACUGGAACAAUGCAGAGAAGAUUAGCAUGGCCUCUGCACAGGGGUGACAUGCAUAUUCAUGAAGUGUUCCAUAGAUAU
Molecule: small nuclear RNA, 105 nt
Organism: Hypanus sabinus (Atlantic stingray)
Lineage: Eukaryota; Metazoa; Chordata; Chondrichthyes; Myliobatiformes; Dasyatidae
Source: RefSeq, a predicted model, not a curated record